UGCUCCGCUACAGAUCGGGUAGCGACAGCGGACUCAGCAGGAAGACGGUUGUGUUUUCGUUUCUCAGCUGAAUCUUUGCGUAGUUUCAGCAACAAUGUCUUCAGUUCAGCAUCUGAGAGAGUUUAUCAGAGAGCGACUAACUGCUGCUGCUGAAGAAAUCUUCUCAGAGGUUGAGAAAACCAUCGUCCGCUACGAGGAAGACGCCAGACUGCUGGAAAGCUACUGGAGACCCCAGAUAAACACCACCAGAAUCGACCUCCAGAAGCCACAUGUCUCCAUGGAGGAGGAAGCUUCUUCCAUCCAACAGCUCUGCAACCAGAGGAGAAGGUCCAUUCAUGACCAGGAGGAAGCAGAACCUCAGUGGUCUGAAGAGGAACAGAUGGAACCAGAUCCUUCCCUGAUUAAAGAAGAAAAUGUGGAGCCAGAGUCUUCAUGGGUUAAAGAGGAACAAAGGGAUCGGGAACCACUAAUUGAAGACCAAGAGGACCCAGAACUUCCACUGAUUGAGGAACAAAAGGAGGAACCAGAUUAUUUGAGGCUUAAACAUGAACAGCAGGAUCCUGAACAUUUACCAACUAGAAUGUAUCAGGAGGAUGUCUGCAGCAGUCAGGAGGGAGAGCAGCUUGUCCAGAAGCAGUCUGUUGCUCUAAUGGAGACCUUUACCCUUCAGGAACAUGAAGGAGAACCAAGAACUGAGCAGCUUUCCUUUCAUAUCUCUCCUGUAGUUCAGACCAAAGACCAGGAAGGAAGCAGCUCCACUGGGUCAGAGAGUCAGUCUUUCACUGACACUAAGAAAAUGUCUUUAAAAUGUGACGUUUGUGGAAAGUCUUUGAAGUACCAGAGUCAAUUGAAAGAGCAUUACAGAACCCACACAGGGAGAGAGGCCUUUUUUCUGUCAGACAUGUGGAAAAAGUUUCACUCGACUUGCUUCUUUAAAUGUUCACACCAGAACCCACACAGGUGAGAGGCCUUUUACAUGUCAGACAUG
Long non-coding RNA from Fundulus heteroclitus (mummichog), 988 nucleotides. RefSeq lists it as uncharacterized. The transcript has 2 exons. The record is from RefSeq and is a predicted model, not a curated record. Lineage: Eukaryota; Metazoa; Chordata; Actinopteri; Cyprinodontiformes; Fundulidae.